GGUGGGGUGGGCAGUACUCCGCCCGCACCUGCCACCCCGAGCCUCCAGGGAGGAGUCGAGAGGCAGCCGGUGGCUCAGACAUCUCAGGCUGGGCUAGUGUCACGUUGUCAGCACGUCACGGUUUCUUGUGAGGAACCACUCUAGCUCUUUCUGGAAGGGGCGUGCGGGGGGUGGGGGGUGGGGGUGUUCUUGAGUUCCCUCCCCCUACCAGAAAGCUCCUCGCUCAGUGUCUGCUCAGGUCGCACUCCCCACUCACCCUGGCUGCUCCUGAGCUCCCAGGAAGGUGUGGUCUUGUGGUGCAGCUCUCUCUCACACAGGCCACCUUGGAGAGGAAGGGUGGAGAGGAGUCCGGGAUGAGGCCCUACUUACUCUGCUAGGUGCCACUGGGAUCAGAGUCCCCCUAGUCUGCUCUGCCUGGAUACUAAGAAAAGUUGAGAAGGAAGCGUAUGCCUCCAGCAAGAUGGGCGGAGUCAGCAGAGAUGCUGACCACUGAGUCCGAGAGCAGCUACCAACUUCCUGACUUCAGAGGCCAGGCUGGAGCCCAAGAAGGCUUUGUGGACCUGUGGCUGUGCUCAUCACGUGAGCCACGUGUAGUCUCUGAUGGCGAUGCCAGCAGCUUGGCCCUGCCUUCGUUUUGGAGGCUGGGGGUGUGGGCCAGCUUAGCAGGACCAGUGCGGCUCCGGCUCCGAGGCAGAGGGCCAGUUUGCCCUCUCUGGUCAGACCCUAACAACAGCAUCCCAUGUCACCAGGGCUUGGGAACUACCUUGGCUGGGGUGUACUGGCCUGCUCUGCUAAUGUGCUUUGGGUCUUUAUUUCCUCUUUGAGUGUGUUUCUUGAAAGGCAAACUCUUUGGUAUAAAAAAACCCCAACAGUUUAUGGUUUUUAGAAUGUUGACUUGAAAUAAAUCAGAUAUUGGUGACAUGAGCUGCAGAUAGUUAUGUAAAGCUGUGAAAGAGCCACAGAUAAUGUACUCUAACUGCAAUACUAAUUAUUGUCCUGUACAAAGCAGCCACCGGUCCGGUAAGAGUCAUCUCUCUGAGUGGUAUCAGUUCCCCAGGAGAUAAGCAUUAUAAAAAUGAUUAAAAGAAUUUCGUAUGAUUUUUACCAUUAAAAUAAAAUCUCAGCAAACCAACAUCCUAAUCUUAUGCUGUUAUUUAUUUUUCCCACUGCUUUAUCUAUUUAUUCGCAUUACAAAGGUAAUACACAUUAAUGGUAAAAAUAGAGAUGGAAAUCAUUCUGAAGGGUGUAAAAUGAAAAGUCCCCUCUCAUUACCCAUUCUUAUUCCCCUGAGAUGAUUGAAGUUAAUGGUUUCUUGUGACCCAGAAAUUUUUUGUUAAACGUGUGUAUGUGUACAGCCAAUCUAAUAUUUUUCCACAAAUUGUUUAGUCCUACAUUUUUUUUUCACGUAAAUAUAUAUAUGUUGACAUACAGGCCUAUCUCAUUUUUAAUGAUCAUCUAGCUCUGGUGUUUCAUUGAAUAUUGCAUAUAAUAUUCCCAAAUUGUGUUGCUUCCA
RNAcentral lists this long non-coding RNA (1513 nucleotides) under Mustela putorius furo (domestic ferret). Its description in RNAcentral is "lncRNA (ENSMPUG00000031339.1)". The record is from RNAcentral. Lineage: Eukaryota; Metazoa; Chordata; Mammalia; Carnivora; Mustelidae.